AUGCACGCUGGCGGCGUGCCUAGUACAUGCAAGUCGAGCGAACGGACGAGAAGCUUGCUUCUCUGAUGUUAGCGGCGGACGGGUGAGUAACACGUGGAUAACCUACCUAUAAGACUGGGAUAACUUCGGGAAACCGGAGCUAAUACCGGAUAAUAUUUUGAACCGCAUGGUUCAAAAGUGAAAGACGGUCUUGCUGUCACUUAUAGAUGGAUCCGCGCUGCAUUAGCUAGUUGGUAAGGUAACGGCUUACCAAGGCAACGAUGCAUAGCCGACCUGAGAGGGUGAUCGGCCACACUGGAACUGAGACACGGUCCAGACUCCUACGGGAGGCAGCAGUAGGGAAUCUUCCGCAAUGGGCGAAAGCCUGACGGAGCAACGCCGCGUGAGUGAUGAAGGUCUUCGGAUCGUAAAACUCUGUUAUUAGGGAAGAACAUAUGUGUAAGUAACUGUGCACAUCUUGACGGUACCUAAUCAGAAAGCCACGGCUAACUACGUG
This 496-nucleotide ribosomal RNA is filed under the name uncultured bacterium. RNAcentral's name for it is "partial 16S ribosomal RNA". It matches the Rfam family "Bacterial small subunit ribosomal RNA", at positions 29 to 507 of the family's 1533-position model. The record is from RNAcentral.